This 253-nucleotide ribosomal RNA is filed under the name uncultured bacterium. RNAcentral describes it as "partial 16S ribosomal RNA". It matches the Rfam family "Bacterial small subunit ribosomal RNA", at positions 524 to 776 of the family's 1533-position model. The record is from RNAcentral.
UACGAAGGGGGCUAGCGUUGUUCGGAAUCACUGGGCGUAAAGGGCGCGUAGGCGGCUUUAUAAGUCGGGGGUGAAAGCCUGUGGCUCAACCACAGAAUUGCCUUCGAUACUGUAGAGCUUGAGACCGGAAGAGGUAAGUGGAACUGCGAGUGUAGAGGUGAAAUUCGUAGAUAUUCGCAAGAACACCAGUGGCGAAGGCGGCUUACUGGGUCUUUUCUGACGCUGAGGCACGAAAGCCAGGGGAGCGAACGGG